Molecule: ribosomal RNA, 341 nt
Filed under: uncultured Mycobacterium sp.
Lineage: Bacteria; Bacillati; Actinomycetota; Actinomycetes; Mycobacteriales; Mycobacteriaceae
Description: bacterial SSU rRNA
Rfam family: Bacterial small subunit ribosomal RNA
Source: RNAcentral
AUCCUGGCUCAGGACGAACGCUGGCGGCGUGCUUAACACAUGCAAGUCGAACGGAAAGGCCUCUUCGGAGGUACUCGAGUGGCGAACGGGUGAGUAACACGUGGGCAAUCUGCCCUGCACUUCGGGAUAAGCCUGGGAAACUGGGUCUAAUACCGGAUAGGACCUCAAGACGCAUGUCUUCUGGUGGAAAGCUUUUGCGGUGUGGGAUGGGCCCGCGGCCUAUCAGCUUGUUGGUGGGGUGACGGCCUACCAAGGCGACGACGGGUAGCCGGCCUGAGAGGGUGUCCGGCCACACUGGGACUGAGAUACGGCCCAGACUCCUACGGGAGGCAGCAGAAGGG